AGCUGCCUAUAAAGGGAUAGCUAAGAGAAAUUCAUUUCAGAUUUUUGGGUAGCUAAAAAACCCAAAAAAUAACAAAUUAGCGGAAAAUAUCCAAAAAACACUGUUCCAUUAAAAUUUUCUAAAACUCUUGAAGAUUUUUUAUUUCUGAAACAAUCCAUAGAUAAUCGGAGGUUUGAAAUGGCUUAAACCGGUUGGUUUCAAGUGUUUAGGUUCGAGUUUUUGGUUGCAUUUGAUUACUGGACAUUAUUGGAUCCUUCUGCUGGUUGGAGUUUGGUUCAAAACUGGUUUUCCUUCCGUUAUUUUUGGGCUGUGUUGUUGCUGUGUUGUUCAGCUGCUGACCUUUUGCUGUUUAUUUCAUUUUCCAGGUGAAUACACAACAAUCAAACCAAUCUAAGGCUUGUGACAUGUGUGGAGGAAACCACCAGAACCAUGAAUGUCAAGCAACCAAUCAAACAGAUGAACAGGCUUAUGUCAUCGGUUACAAACCAUAUCCUUUUGGGAGUCCAAUGGCACAGAAGCAUCCAGGAUUUCAGUGGAGUAAACCAAAUGGUGCAGAAAACUCUCAAAGCUUCCAAAAACAAUAGGGACAAGGUCCGCCAGGAUACCAGAGUCAAAAUCGCGGGGAACCGAGUUACAGACCUUAUCAGCAAGCAAGCCCAUAUCAACAAGCAGGGUCAUAUCAGCAGAGGCCCCAACAAGCUCAUCCAAGUCUUGAUGACCUUUUGUACAAGUAUAUUAAGGUCACUGAUGAAAAGAUGGAAAGCCAAAAUUCAUCCCUCAAAAAUCAAAAAAUUCAAUUAAGCCAAUUGGCAGCUCUUGUGUUAGAAAAGAUUCAGGGUCCCUUACCAAGCAAUACAGAGAAAAAUCCAAAGGAGCACCUUAAGGCCAUCACUUUACGGUCAGAUGAAUUCAAAGAUGAUCAAUUAAUUUCAGACUCAAUGGAAAGAUGUUUGACCAAAUCAGGCACCACACAAGAUGAUGAUCCCACAAUUAGGAGAGAAGCUGAAAUACUGGAAAAAUAUUCAGAGGAUAAGGAUGUCACGACCCAAUUCCCGAACUCGGUCGUGAUGACGCCUCUCGUGAAGACAAGGCCAGCCCAACAGAACGGAACACCUCUUUUAACAGUUAAUUAACAUAAAGAAGUCUAAACAUGAUUAAUCAUAGUCAUAAGUGCGGAAUAAAGUGAUAAAACAUGGAAACCAUCCCGACACAGCCCAAAUCGGGGUGUCACAAGUCAUGAGCUACUAUAGAGUCUACUAAAAUUCUACAAGGUCUGGAACUUAGUACAAAGUCUAAAGAUAACAUAAGUAAUAGAAGAUAAGGGAGAAACGGGGCUGCGGAUAUCAACAGCUACCUCGUCAUCACCGCCUGGUCUGGAAGGAAUCAGUGCUCAGGAGCGAACUCUGCUAUGCAUGUAUCUGCACACACACGGUGCAAGGAGUAAUGUACACAUGGAUUUAAAUACAAAUGACCCUCUUAGCAACGUGGUCGUAUGGCAGGUCGAAAUGUAUUACCUCAAGCUCCAAGGAGAGGUCGAAAUGCCAAUGCAAAUGCCAAUGAAAAUGAGAACAUACCAGACCCUCCCCCGCCUCCACCAAGAUUGGCCCCAAGAGUUCUCUCUAAUCAAGGGUACGCGAGUGCAAUAGUUCCUCCAAAAAUCUGAGCGGGGAACUUUCGGAUUACAAAUAUUAUGCUCACCUUGCUCGAACAACGAGAUUAUUUCACGGGUGCCUCCGAUCAGAAUGCUUAUAAACAUUUGAAAGGGUUUGUGGAUACUUGUUGGGGUAGCAAGUAGACAAAUGUCUCGAAGGAUGAAUUGAGACUUAGGCUUUUCCCGUUCUCACUUCGGGGAAAGGCAUUGGAUUGGUUAGAGAGGCUCCCCAAUCAUUCUAUCACUACAUGGGAUGAAUUGGCGGACAAGUUCAUCGCUAAGUUCUUUUCUCCAAGUCAUAUGGCGGCGGUCCGUGAUGAGAUUUUGGCUUUCAAACAAGAGCCAAUGGAACCCUUGCACGAGAUAUGGGAGAGAUUUAGAACUAUGGUGAAAGAGUGACCUAACAAUGACAUGAAUGAUGUGAUGAUUCAACAAACAUUCUAUAGGGGCAUCAACACAACCAACCAAUGUAUUGUGAACCAAUUGGUGGGAGGAAAUUUUAUGAAGCUUCCUUACAAUGAAGCUUGUGAUGUGUUAGAUGAAAUGGCCGAUACUUCUUCGGCAUGGCAAAGCCGGGCAAACGUUCCUCAAGGUGACCCUAAUGUCAUACAUUUGCAUAAGGAGUUGCAUGAUCACGGCCAAGCCAUUGCCAAACUUACAACAACAAUGAAUCAAUUGGCGAAGGUGCAAUUACAACAAGUCCAAAACUCGUGCCAAGUCAAUGCCAUGGAAGGAGUGAAUAUGAUGAAAAGGAGGCAAAGAGGGAAACAACCUCAAGGAAAUUUUGAUAACUAUGAUGAUGGUGGUGGUUAUUCAAAUGAAUGCUAUGAUGAUCAAAGUGAGGAAGUCCAAUACGUCAACAACUACCAAGGGAAU
Molecule: non-coding RNA, 2527 nt
Organism: Nicotiana tabacum (common tobacco)
Lineage: Eukaryota; Viridiplantae; Streptophyta; Magnoliopsida; Solanales; Solanaceae
Source: RefSeq, a predicted model, not a curated record